Molecule: ribosomal RNA, 429 nt
Filed under: Chloroflexota bacterium
Lineage: Bacteria; Bacillati; Chloroflexota
Description: Chloroflexi bacterium partial 16S ribosomal RNA
Rfam family: Bacterial small subunit ribosomal RNA
Source: RNAcentral
UGGGGAAUAUUGCACAAUGGGCGCAAGCCUGAUGCAGCCAUGCCGCGUGUAUGAAGAAGGCCUUCGGGUUGUAAAGUACUUUCAGUCGGGAGGAAGGUGGUAAGGUUAAUAACCUUAUCAAUUGACGUUACCGACAGAAGAAGCACCGGCUAACUCCGUGCCAGCAGCCGCGGUAAUACGGAGGGUGCAAGCGUUAAUCGGAAUUACUGGGCGUAAAGCGCACGCAGGCGGUUUGUUAAGUCAGAUGUGAAAUCCCCGGGCUCAACCUGGGAACUGCAUCUGAUACUGGCAAGCUUGAGUCUCGUAGAGGGGGGUAGAAUUCCAGGUGUAGCGAUGAAAUGCGUAGAGAUCUGGAGGAAUACCGGUGGCGAAGGCGGCCCCCUGGACGAAGACUGACGCUCAGGUGCGAAAGCGUGGGGAGCAAACAGG